CAGACCUCUAAUCGGAAAAGACUACCCGCUGAGUUUAAGCAUAUCACUAAGCGGAGGAGAAGAAACUAACCAGGAUUUCCCUAGUAACGGCGAGCGAACCGGAAAGAGCCCAGCUUGAAAAUCGUGGUGCCUCGUACCUCGAAUUGUAGUCUGGAGAAGGUCCCUCUGCGCCGCGCCGGACCCAAGUUCCCUGGAAAGGGACGUCAUCGAGGGUGACAACCCCGUCCGCGCCCGGAACGCGUCGCUCCACGAGGACCUGUCUGCGAGUCGGGCUGUUUGGGAAUGCAGCCCUAAGCGGGAGGUAAAUUCCUUCCAAGGCUAAAUAUGGGCAAGAGACCGAUAGCGAACAAGUACCGCG
RNAcentral lists this ribosomal RNA (358 nucleotides) under Rhynchostegium riparioides. RNAcentral's name for it is "eukaryotic LSU rRNA". It matches the Rfam family "Eukaryotic large subunit ribosomal RNA", at positions 1 to 355 of the family's 3401-position model. Lineage: Eukaryota; Viridiplantae; Streptophyta; Bryopsida; Hypnales; Brachytheciaceae. The record is from RNAcentral.